This 802-nucleotide ribosomal RNA is filed under the name uncultured bacterium. RNAcentral's name for it is "bacterial SSU rRNA". It matches the Rfam family "Bacterial small subunit ribosomal RNA", at positions 8 to 796 of the family's 1533-position model. The record is from RNAcentral.
AGAGUUUGAUCAUGGCUCAGAACGAACGCUGGCGGCGCGUAUUAAGCAUGCAAGUCGAACGGUAGAGUGGGCUUCGGCCUGCUUGAGAGUGGCGAACGGGUGAGUAACACGUAGGUGAUCUGUCCUUGAGUGGGGGAUAGCCCAUGGAAACAUGGGGUAAUACCGCAUGAGGCCUUGGUACUGUGGUACUUAGGUAAAAGGAGCAAUUGUUUCGCUUGGGGAUGAGCCUGCGGUCCAUUAGCUAGUUGGUGUGGUAAGAGCGCACCAAGGCGACGAUGGAUAGCCGGCCUGAGAGGGUGAACGGCCACACUGGGACUGAGACACGGCCCAGACUCCUACGGGAGGCAGCAGCUAAGAAUCUUCCGCAAUGGGGGAAACCCUGACGGAGCGACGCCGCGUGGGCGAAGAAGGCCGGAAGGUUGUAAAGCCCUUUUCUGGACGAAGAAUAAGGUGGGGAGUGGAACGCCCUGCUGAUGACGUUAGUCCAGGAAGAAGCCCCGGCCAAUUACGUGCCAGCAGCCGCGGUAACACGUAUGGGGCAAGCGUUGUUCGGAAUCACUGGGCGUAAAGGGCGCGCAGGCGGUCACAGCAAGCUUGGUGUGAAAUACCCCGGCCUAACCGGGGGGAUGCGCUGGGAACUGCUGGACUAGAGUUCAGGAGGGGGAGCUGGAAUUCCUGGUGUAGGGGUGAAAUCUGUAGAGAUCAGGAAGAACACCGGUGGCGAAGGCGAGCUCCUGGCCAUGGACUGACGCUGAGGCGCGAAAGCGUGGGGAGCGAACAGGAUUAGAUACCCUAGUAGUCC